UGUUAACUUGCUUGGUUAUCUCAACAUCAAGUUUACAAAACAGAAGCAACAGGGAAGGUGAUGAAGAACAUCUACAGAUACAGGCGUGAGAGCAGACAACCUGAAAAUUCAUAAAAGGAGAUGGUAUUAGAGCCUGAUCAAGGACACAAGCUCCCAGCUUAUGAGUUUUCAGAGUCAGCUCCAUUUGGUGUGGAGAUCUUUGUUGCCACAAAGGGUGAGCUGAUGGGAGAGGACAGGAUAUCCCAAGCCCCUCAGCAAUGGGCCGUGCCCCUUCGGAGAGGAGAUGAAAGCUACACUUCACCCUGGUCACCAGAGCCUCUAUCGUUGGAUGACGCAAUACAGCCUCCGUGUUCUGCACCAGAUACAUCUGGGGCUCCGCUCCAUGAUGACUGUUCCAAGGACGCUAUACAACAGAAAAAAGGCAUUUCAGUAUUCCCAUCACUUACAGUGUCCAGCCAACGAGACCCUAACAGUGGUUGGAGAGUAGACCUGAAAUAUGAGAUACAAAUGGACCUAUUCUCAAGCCAUUCUGAACCCAAUUUUUAAAAAAUUAAAAUAGUUUUGGUUAGUUAAGAUGAUUCAAAGGACUGUGCUACCUGACAUU
RNAcentral lists this long non-coding RNA (604 nucleotides) under Bos grunniens (domestic yak). RNAcentral describes it as "lncRNA (ENSBGRG00000001996.1)". The record is from RNAcentral. Lineage: Eukaryota; Metazoa; Chordata; Mammalia; Artiodactyla; Bovidae.